RNAcentral lists this long non-coding RNA (626 nucleotides) under Helianthus annuus (common sunflower). RNAcentral describes it as "hypothetical non coding rna". Lineage: Eukaryota; Viridiplantae; Streptophyta; Magnoliopsida; Asterales; Asteraceae. The record is from RNAcentral.
GAUGAACUCAGAAUGUCUAGCCUUCGCCUCUGGCGUGGCGGCUAGGGUUUCGACAAGUCCGCGGAAGGUCCAACAAAGAUCCGUUUCGUGAACCAGGAGAACACAACGACCUGAUCUAGAGUUCAGGUUUCGCCGAACUAAUUAGUGGUUGCAUGUUUAUGUCCGACAACAGGAGGGCAAAGGUUGUGAUUGACGACUACCGGCGGCGAUCGGCCAUCGCUGCUGUCAGGGGCGGACUUAUAUGUGGCUUAAGGUGGGCGGGCGCACCCCCGGGAAAAAAAAAUUUAGUGCUAUUUUCCAUUGAAAAUCCCGUUCGCACCUCUUGGAUUUUUUCGUCCGCACCCCUUGAAUUUUUUCAUCCGCACCCCUUGGAAUUUUUCGUCCACACACCUUAGGACCUGAUGAAGAUGACCAAGUGGGUUUUGCUGAUGAAGAUGACAAAGUAGGUUUUGCUCUUCAAUUUGUUGUGAUGCUCAUUAUUAGGUGUAGUAGUAUAUAUAUUUUUUACAAACUUGAUCUUAUUAGUUUGUUUAGAAUUUGACUAAGUUGAUUUAGAUUAUUAAUUAUUAUACAUGGUUGUGUUUUGAGGCAUUUAUUCCAACUCAAAUCAAUAAACACGAUUAUAU